RNAcentral lists this ribosomal RNA (506 nucleotides) under uncultured Glomus. RNAcentral's name for it is "SSU rRNA". It matches the Rfam family "Eukaryotic small subunit ribosomal RNA", at positions 569 to 1078 of the family's 1831-position model. The record is from RNAcentral. Lineage: Eukaryota; Fungi; Glomeromycota; Glomeromycetes; Glomerales; Glomeraceae.
AGCAGCCGCGGUAAUUCCAGCUCCAAUAGCGUAUAUUAAAGUUGUUGCAGUUAAAAAGCUCGUAGUUGAAUUUCGGGAUCAGUACGCUGGUCAUGCCUUUGGUAUGCACUGGUGUCACUGGUUUCUCCCUUCUGAAGAACCGUGAUGUCAUUAAUUUGGUGUCGCGGGGAAUCAGGACUGUUACUUUGAAAAAUUAGAGUGUUUAAAGCAGGCUCACGCUUGAAUACAUUAGCAUGGAAUAAUGAAAUAGGACGUUUGACCCUAUUUUGUUGGUUUCUAGGAUCGACGUAAUGAUUAAUAGGGAUAGUUGGGGCAUUAGUAUUCAAUUGUCAGAGGUGAAAUUCUUGGAUUUAUUGAAGGCUAACUACUGCGAAAGCAUUUGCCAAGGAUGUUUUCAUUAAUCAAGAACGAAAGUUAGGGGAUCGAAGACGAUCAGAUACCGUCGUAGUCUUAACCNUAAAACUAUGCCGACUAGGGAUCGGAUGAUGUUAAUUUAUAAUGACUCA